GUCACGCCCUUCUUCUCCAUGUCCUUCAGCGCCAUGUCGUCGUACAGGCUCGCGUUCAGGACCAGCCGGUAGUUACCCUUGGCCCUCAUAACGAGCCGGGACCUCUCGCCGCCAGACACGGGGACGUUCAGCUUUAGCUCCCCUUUUCCUCUUUCUUUCCAGCCCCCAUCGAGGUACUCGUACAUUGCGGAGUCUGCGGUGAACACGGCCAUCUCGUUCUCUUCGCCUGUCUCCACUGGGCCCUCUGGCAUGGUGAAUUUCUUUGGUGCUUCUGCUGCAGCAACAAGCGAUGGAACAGAACUCCCGUUGUUGUUUGUACCACCGAUAUUGAAAGAAGGGAAGGAUGAACCAUCGCUCUUUAGCCCAAAUAGGGGAGCAUUUGUGCUCUCUUUAGAAGCUGAGCCAAAGGAAAAUGAUGAGGCUGAAAACCCAGUUCCAGCCAGUCCUGUGAAGGCGUUAUGGCCACUUGACACAUUCAUAAAAGAGAACAGAGGUGUUGGUGAUACAUCCUUGGUCCCUGAUUCAGAUUCAUCUUUCUUCUCAGCGCCGUCCUUGCUGCUUUUAUCUUCAUCUCCACCUUCAUUCACUUUAGCACCUUCAUCUUCUGUUUUACCCUCGAUUCCAGAUGUCUUGCUGUUAUCUACCUUGGGUUCUCCAACCAGCACUUUGUCCUCACCAGUUCCACCCUCUGUGCUGCCUGCCUUGUUAUCAGUUUCAGUAAGUGAAGAGUGUGCUUCCAUUGGCGCAUUCGACUUGUUUUCUGCAUUUGACUCAUUCAGGCCCAAUUCAUCCUUUUGAAUCUCUGCUACCUCAUUAGAAUCUGCAUUCUUGUCAGCAUCUUUCCC
Molecule: ribosomal RNA, 845 nt
Filed under: Triticum aestivum (bread wheat)
Lineage: Eukaryota; Viridiplantae; Streptophyta; Magnoliopsida; Poales; Poaceae
Description: partial small subunit ribosomal RNA
Source: RNAcentral